GUGGGGGGCCGUGUCCCCCAGGGCACUACUGCACGGUGGGGAGCAGUAGAGCACAGCCAUGCCCCGCAGGGAGCUACAGCCCAUUCUGGGGAAAGGUGCAGUGUUUGGAGUGCCCAGAAGGCUUUUACUGUAAGGCUGGUUCCACCAAUUACACAGACUGUCCCGCAGGACAUUACUGCCCAAGGAAUACGGAGUUUGCCACACAGUAUCCCUGUCCACAAGGAACCUACAGCCAGGACUUAAACAUGAGGGAUGCCUCCAAGUGCCAGCUGUGUCCCCCUGGAAAAGUCUGCUCCAAAUCAGGCUUGACGAGUCCUGACGGACCAUGCAUGCCUGGAUGGUUUUGUCCACCCGGAUCAGCGUCAGGCGAGCCAAAAUUCCUAGCAGGGUCAGAAGCUUCACCUCACGGGUCCUUCAGACUGUGCCAAGCAGGAACGUUUUGUCCUGGUGGCUCAUCCCUUCCUAUUCCC
Chelonia mydas (Green sea turtle) is the source of this 470-nucleotide long non-coding RNA. RefSeq lists it as uncharacterized. Lineage: Eukaryota; Metazoa; Chordata; Testudines; Cheloniidae. The transcript is spliced from 3 exons. The record is from RefSeq and is a predicted model, not a curated record.